UACGGGAGGCAGCAGUGGGGAAUAUUGCACAAUGGGCGCAAGCCUGAUGCAGCCAUGCCGCGUGUAUGAAGAAGGCCUUCGGGUUGUAAAGUACUUUUCAGCGGGGAGGAAGGCGGUGGAGUUAAUAGCUUCACCGAUUGACGUUACCCGCAGAAGAAGCACCGGCUAACUCCGUGCCAGCAGCCGCGGUAAUACGGAGGGUGCAAGCGUUAAUCGGAAUUACUGGGCGUAAAGCGCACGCAGGCGGUCUGUCAAGUCGGAUGUGAAAUCCCCGGGCUUAACCUGGGAACUGCAUUCGAAACUGGCAGGCUAGAGUCUUGUAGAGGGGGUAGAAUUCCAGGUGUAGCGGUGAAAUGCGUAGAGAUCUGGAGGAAUACCGGUGGCGAAGGCGGCCCCUGGGACAAAGACUGACGCUCAGGUGCGAAAGCGUGGGGAGCAAACAGGAUUAGGAUACC
Molecule: ribosomal RNA, 455 nt
Filed under: uncultured bacterium
Lineage: Bacteria
Description: bacterial SSU rRNA
Rfam family: Bacterial small subunit ribosomal RNA
Source: RNAcentral